AUUACCCACUCCCGGCACGGGGAGGUAGUGACGAAAAAUAACGAUACGGAACUCAUACGAGGCUCCGUAAUCGGAAUGAGUACACUUUAAAUCCUUUAACGAGGAUCUAUUGGAGGGCAAGUCUGGUGCCAGCAGCCGCGGUAAUUCCAGCUCCAAUAGCGUAUAUUAAAGUUGUUGCGGUUAAAAAGCUCGUAGUUGGAUCUCGGUUUCACUCAGGUGGUACACCUUGCGGUGUUCACUAUCUGGGUGGACGUUUCUGUUGGUUCGCUCUUGGUGCUCUUCAUCGGGUGCCAUUUGGUGGCCAGCACGUUUACUUUGAAAAAAUUGGAGUGCUCAAAGCAGGCGUUACAGCCUGAACAUUAGUGCAUGGAAUAAUGGAAUAGGAUCUCGAUUCUAUUUCGUUGGCUUUCGGAGUCGAGGUAAUGAUUAAUAGGGACAGACGGGGGCAUUCGUACUGCGACGUUAGAGGUGAAAUUCUUGGAUCGUCGCAAGACGAACUACUGCGAAAGCAUUUGCCAAGAAUGUUUUCAUUAAUCAACGAAAGUUAGAGGUUCGAAGGCGAUCAGAUACCGCCCUAGUUCUAACCAUAAACGAUGCCAACCGGCGAUCCGUCGUCGUUAAUUGAAUGACUCGACGGGCAGCCUCCGGGAAACCAGAGUGUUUGGGUUCCGGGGGAAGUAUGGUUGCAAAGCUGAAACUUAAAGGAAUUGACGGAAGGGCACCACCAGGAGUGGAGCCUGCGGCUUAAUUUGACCCAACACGGGAAAUCUCACCAGGCCCGGACACCGGAAGGAUUGACAGAUUGAGAGCUCUUUCUUGAUUCGGUGGGUGGUGGUGCAUGGCCGUUCUUAGUUGGUGGAGCGAUUUGUCUGGUUAAUUCCGAUAACGAACGAGACUCUGGCCUACUAACUAGAAGGUCUAUCCUUUAUGGGUAGGCCUCUGCUUCUUAGAGGGACGGGCGGCGUUUAGCCGCACGAGAAUGAGCAAUAACAGGUCUGUGAUGCCCUUAGAUGUUCUGGGCUGCACGCGCGCUACACUGAAGGAAUCAGCAUGUUCUCCCCUCCCUGAAAAGGGCGGGUAACCCGUUGAAACUCCUUCGUGAUGGGGAUUGGAGAUUGUAAUUAUUCUCCAUGAACGAGGAAUUCCCAGUAGGCGCGAGUCAUCAGCUUGCGUCGAUUACGUCCCUGCCCUUUGUACACACCGCCCGUCGCUACUACCGAUCGAGUGAUUUAGUGAGGACUUCGGACUGGUCUUCAAGUUGGCUUCGGUCGGCUCGAAGUUCCGGAAAGAUGCCCAAACUUGAUCACUUAGA
Molecule: ribosomal RNA, 1312 nt
Filed under: metagenome
Description: SSU rRNA
Rfam family: Eukaryotic small subunit ribosomal RNA
Source: RNAcentral